RNAcentral lists this ribosomal RNA (953 nucleotides) under Parabacteroides distasonis. Its description in RNAcentral is "bacterial SSU rRNA". It matches the Rfam family "Bacterial small subunit ribosomal RNA", at positions 1 to 943 of the family's 1533-position model. Lineage: Bacteria; Pseudomonadati; Bacteroidota; Bacteroidia; Bacteroidales; Tannerellaceae. The record is from RNAcentral.
CAAUUUAAACAACGAAGAGUUUGAUCCUGGCUCAGGAUGAACGCUAGCGACAGGCUUAACACAUGCAAGUCGAGGGGCAGCACAGGUAGCAAUACCGGGUGGCGACCGGCGCACGGGUGAGUAACGCGUAUGCAACUUACCUAUCAGAGGGGGAUAACCCGGCGAAAGUCGGACUAAUACCGCAUGAAGCAGGGGCCCCGCAUGGGGAUAUUUGCUAAAGAUUCAUCGCUGAUAGAUAGGCAUGCGUUCCAUUAGGCAGUUGGCGGGGUAACGGCCCACCAAACCGACGAUGGAUAGGGGUUCUGAGAGGAAGGUCCCCCACAUUGGUACUGAGACACGGACCAAACUCCUACGGGAGGCAGCAGUGAGGAAUAUUGGUCAAUGGCCGAGAGGCUGAACCAGCCAAGUCGCGUGAGGGAUGAAGGUUCUAUGGAUCGUAAACCUCUUUUAUAAGGGAAUAAAGUGCGGGACGUGUCCCGUUUUGUAUGUACCUUAUGAAUAAGGAUCGGCUAACUCCGUGCCAGCAGCCGCGGUAAUACGGAGGAUCCGAGCGUUAUCCGGAUUUAUUGGGUUUAAAGGGUGCGUAGGCGGCCUUUUAAGUCAGCGGUGAAAGUCUGUGGCUCAACCAUAGAAUUGCCGUUGAAACUGGGGGGCUUGAGUAUGUUUGAGGCAGGCGGAAUGCGUGGUGUAGCGGUGAAAUGCAUAGAUAUCACGCAGAACCCCGAUUGCGAAGGCAGCCUGCCAAGCCAUGACUGACGCUGAUGCACGAAAGCGUGGGGAUCAAACAGGAUUAGAUACCCUGGUAGUCCACGCAGUAAACGAUGAUCACUAGCUGUUUGCGAUACACUGUAAGCGGCACAGCGAAAGCGUUAAGUGAUCCACCUGGGGAGUACGCCGGCAACGGUGAAACUCAAAGGAAUUGACGGGGGCCCGCACAAGCGGAGGAACAUGUG